ACGAACGCUGGCGGCAGACCUAACACAUGCAAGUCGAACGCUGUAGCAAUACAGAGUGGCAGACGGGUGAGUAACGCAUGGGAACCUUCCCAGUGGUGCGGAAUAGCUCAGGGAAACUUGAGGUAAUACCGCAUAAGCCCCUAGGGGGAAAGAUUUAUCGCCAUUGGAUGGGCCCGCGUUCGAUUAGGUAGUUGGUGAGGUAACGGCUCACCAAGCCUUCGAUCGAUAGCUGGUCUGAGAGGAUGAUCAGCCACACUGGGACUGAGAUACGGCCCAGACUCCUACGGGAGGCAGCAGUGGGGAAUAUUGGACAAUGGGGGCAACCCUGAUCCAGCAAUGCCGCGUGAGUGAUGAAGGCCUUCGGGUUGUAAAGCUCUUUUGGCGGGGACGAUGAUGACGGUACCCGCAGAAUAAGCCCCGGCUAACUUCGUGCCAGCCGCCGCGGUAAUU
Molecule: ribosomal RNA, 450 nt
Filed under: uncultured bacterium
Lineage: Bacteria
Description: bacterial SSU rRNA
Rfam family: Bacterial small subunit ribosomal RNA
Source: RNAcentral